This is a non-coding RNA of Cicer arietinum (chickpea), 729 nucleotides long. Lineage: Eukaryota; Viridiplantae; Streptophyta; Magnoliopsida; Fabales; Fabaceae. The record is from RefSeq and is a predicted model, not a curated record.
UGGUUUUAUUAUAAUGUAUAGAUGUAUAGAUAUCAUGAUUCAUAAAAUACUCUUUUUUAACACAUAUAAAAUACUCUUAAAUCAAUAUAAGUUUUAUUUUCCCAUAACUUUUUAAUUAUUAACAAACAAGUUUUCAUGAAUUACAAUUUUAGAAUAUUGUCAAAAAAAAUUCCAUGAAUGAGAUUAAUAUGGUUGAUUCAAAAUAAAUAUGGUGAGGUGGUGAAUGUUUGUUUAAAGAGAUGAGCUAGAACAAAGUCCUCUUUGAGAUUUGUUCAUAAGGUGUUAACAAAAUGGUUACUUUUUUCAUAAGGUGAUAACAAAAGGCUUACAAUUUGGUGAGGGAUUUGUGAAUGCGUGUGACCAUUUGUGAAUUCGGAUUUGUAUUAAUCUGAAUAAAUGAUUAAAUUUUAAAUAAUAUAUCAACGCUCCUUUCAAUCUAGCCAAUAAUUAUGUAGCAAGCAUUAUUAAUUAGAAUAACAAAAAAGAGUAGAAUGCAAAUAUUUAUAAACAAUGUGUGGGACAUGUUUCUCGGAUGAGUUAUAGUAAGGAGUAACAACAAGCAAAUGCAAUUAAGCAAAUUGAAAGCAACCUAACAUUGGAGAUUAUUAUAUAGGACUUGAGUGUGCAAAUAAAAUACAUGAGAGUGUUCCCCUUAGUGUUUUUUCAAAUGGAAUUUUAAUUGUCUUGCCUUUUUAGUGACAAUGGAUAUUCAAUAUAUUAGUAAUGGUA